AAACCAUUGGAGUGCACGAUGGCCCUGCUUCCCAGAGCCCUGUGGAUCCUGAGGGCAGAGUGGCAGAGCGGCUCUGAGCAGUGAGGCCUAGAGUGUGGAAAGUGCACCCAUGCUGGUGGGCAAGGCUCCAGCUGGCUGCCCGGAGGGAACUAUGUUUACACCAGCAUUCACGAGGCUAACACAGCAGCAUCAUGGGACAAGGCGGACUGCCGCAUGCAGUGCCUCAUUUGGAUGUGUCUGAUGUCUUGCAAGCUUGACCACCUACAUGCUCCCACUAAUGGACUGUGAGAGCUUUCUGAAGGUUCCAGCAGGGCAGUGCAGCUCCGCUUGACCAGUCUUUUAUAGUGUCUGCACUGGUCUGGGCCGACUUUGGGAACCUGCUAAAUGAGUAGAGGAUGGCUUUGGUGAAGUACUCAGGGUGAUUCUGACUGAUGUGACGGCCACCAACACAAGGCGGAGCUGAGUGCCAGAAGGUUGCCUGAUGUUCACUGUUCUCACUGCACCACUUCCAUGGAGCAUGGCCCACAUGUCGUAGGAAAAAGGACCACAGACCAAGAAUUCAGAAACAAGACUUUCCCGUUUGUAGGGUAUGCACUGCUGGGAAGGAGGCGGAGGGUGCCCACUAGCAGCUCCCUCACACAUUCAAAGGUCAAGGCUUUCCUUUACACCUGAGUAAAACCCAAGACCUUUCCAAGGGUUGCCUUGUAAUUCCUGGCGAAGAGGAAUCCUGUGACCCUCAGGGAAGAUGGAGCAUGAAAACACAAGCCAGAGGAGAAAGAAGAGCACCCCAGGGUCAGGAGUCCAAUUUCACAUGGGAUUUUUGGAAGAGUUACCAACCACAUGUAUUUAAAAGAGGCCACCACAUUUAUCCCACCGAAUGUUUAGGGUCACAGCAUGUCACGGUGUUUCUGCAGGGGAGCAAAGUGAAGAAAAUCCA
Suricata suricatta (meerkat) is the source of this 937-nucleotide long non-coding RNA. RefSeq lists it as uncharacterized. The record is from RefSeq and is a predicted model, not a curated record. NCBI's taxonomy places the organism in Eukaryota, Metazoa, Chordata, Mammalia, Carnivora, Herpestidae. The transcript is spliced from 4 exons.